GCCACUGCUAUUGGGGUUCGGCUAAGCCAUGCGAGUGGAGGGCGUCCCGCAAGGGAUGGCCCCGCAGACGGCUCAGUAACACGUCGUCAACCCACCCUAGGGUGGGGGACAACCUCGGGAAACUGAGGAUAAUCCCCCAUAGGCGGGGGAGGCUGGAAUGCGCCCCCGCUGAAAGCUCAGGCGCCCUAGGACGGGACGGCGGCCUAUUAGGUAGUUGGUGGUGUGACG
This 228-nucleotide ribosomal RNA is filed under the name uncultured archaeon. RNAcentral describes it as "partial 16S ribosomal RNA". It matches the Rfam family "Archaeal small subunit ribosomal RNA", at positions 23 to 246 of the family's 1478-position model. The record is from RNAcentral.